RNAcentral lists this unclassified non-coding RNA (226 nucleotides) under Hevea brasiliensis (rubber tree). The record is from RNAcentral. Lineage: Eukaryota; Viridiplantae; Streptophyta; Magnoliopsida; Malpighiales; Euphorbiaceae.
UGUUCCAAAACCUAAGAGAGGAAUAGUUUUGUCACUCGAAACAAGGAUGGUCUCUGGAAUGCUUCCCAUUUUCUCUAGGUAGCCCAGUCUCCAAUGAGUUUCUGUUCUUUACUUGCCGACUUAUACCCAAGAUCUCAAAAUUAUAAUCUAUUAAUUAACAUAAAAGAAAGCUUCAGAUCAAAGGUGCACAGCCGGCUUUCAAGACUUUUCAAAUGGGAAUCCUCAG